This is a long non-coding RNA of Tigriopus californicus, 731 nucleotides long. RefSeq lists it as uncharacterized. NCBI's taxonomy places the organism in Eukaryota, Metazoa, Arthropoda, Copepoda, Harpacticoida, Harpacticidae. The transcript is spliced from 2 exons. The record is from RefSeq and is a predicted model, not a curated record.
UGACUUCUAGAUCCGGCUUGAACGCCAAUCCACAACAAAAUAAAUGGCAUGAGUCAUGGCGGGGCUUUUGAAACCAAUUCGUCACUCUGAGGUAAAUGAAAAAAAAGAGUAAGCACUCCAAAGUAGAUGAGUUGAAAUGCGCGACGAUGUCUGGUGUGUCUUCGAUUUAUUUGGGUCUGAUAAGUCAUGAUCUAAUGAAUUGACCUCACAUGAAACACUCUAAGCGUUCUCUCAUGAAGUCACCUUAAUUGUUAAAUUUGUUAUUAUCACUAGUAGCGGGCGAUCCAAUACUAAAACGAGCCGACCCCAAACCUGAUUUGAUAUAGACGAUUGGGACUGAUGCGAAAAACAAUUCCUGAAAACAACGUACUCCCUCAAGGACCCUACUCACACACCCAUUCAACACAUCCGUAUGUUCGCACAUGCCACGUAUUCGGACGGAAUGAAUACGACUAAUACUACGAAGAAACUAGGAACCAAGAUUUGAUUGUCAUCGUAUUCCCUGCAUGGAACUUUGAGACCAAUGCCCGUUCCAUUUAUUCCUGAUCUACCAAAGUCAUCCCAAUCUUUUGGAUCUUCAAGGCGUCUUCGAACGAUCCAUUAGUCAAGAAUGAAAAAAACCGUCGCUCGCAUUUUUGCAUUUCAUGUAUUCCGGAACAGGUUUUGCCCAUCAAUCUGCAUCCAGCUCAGAACUCAUCAAUGAAGAAAUAAAAUCAAAUACUAGAUAAGAA